This 397-nucleotide ribosomal RNA is filed under the name uncultured bacterium. Its description in RNAcentral is "bacterial SSU rRNA". It matches the Rfam family "Bacterial small subunit ribosomal RNA", at positions 505 to 898 of the family's 1533-position model. The record is from RNAcentral.
GUGUCAGCAGCCGCGGUAAUACGUAGGGUCCGAGCGUUGUCCGGAUUUAUUGGGCGUAAAGAGCUCGUAGGCGGUUCCGUAAGUCAGAUGUGAAAACUCAGGGCUCAACCCGGAGACGCCAUCUGAUACUGCGGUGACUGGAGUCUGGUAGGGGAACACGGAAUUCCUGGUGUAGCGGUGAAAUGCGCAGAUAUCAGGAGGAACACCGAUGGCGAAGGCAGUGUUCUGGGCCAGUACUGACGCUGAGGAGCGAAAGCGUGGGGAGCAAACAGGAUUAGAUACCCUGGUAGUCCACGCCGUAAACGUUGGGCACUAGGUGUGGGUCCUCAUCAACGGGAUCCGUGCCGUAGCUAACGCAUUAAGUGCCCCGCCUGGGGAGUACGGCCGCAAGGCUAAA